Molecule: ribosomal RNA, 776 nt
Filed under: uncultured Neocallimastigales
Lineage: Eukaryota; Fungi; Neocallimastigomycota; Neocallimastigomycetes; Neocallimastigales
Description: partial large subunit ribosomal RNA
Rfam family: Eukaryotic large subunit ribosomal RNA
Source: RNAcentral
UUACGACUACAUAUCAGGCAUAUCAAUAAGCGGAGGAAAAGAAACUAACAAGGAUUCCCUCAGUAACGGCGAGUGAAGCGGGAAGAGCUCAAAUUUGAAAUCUUCAAGGUUCUACCUUGACGAAUUGUAGUUUAAAGAAGUGUUUUCUGUUAGAUGAGUAGCAAAAGUUCCUUGGAAUGGGACAUCAUAGAGGGUGAGAAUCCCGUAUUUGGUUAUUCAUUCUAGCUUUGUGAUACACUUUCAAAGAGUCGGAUUGUUUGGGAAUGCAGUCCAAAAUGGGUGGUAAAUAUCAUCUAAAGCUAAAUAUUGGCGAGAGACCGAUAGCGAACAAGUACCGUGAGGGAAAGAUGAAAAGAACUUUGAAAAGAGAGUUAAACAGUACGUGAAAUUGUCAAAAGGGAAGCGUUUGACACCAGUGUUGUUUUUCCGAAAAUCAAUUACGAAUGGCUUGAUUUUGUGUUGUAUUGACCUUAUCAGCUUUCUUCACUUUUUUCGAGUCUUUCUUAAUGCACUUUUCGGUUAACAAGUCAACAUCAAUUUCUUUUGUUGUAAAAGAGUAUUCGGAAGGUGGCUUUCUUUUCGGAGAAAGUGUUUAUAGCCCUAUACUUCUACAAUCGGAGAGAUUGAGGUCUGCAGCGUAGAUCCUUCGGGGUUAGAUACAUUUGUGCUAAGUUGUAGCUAUUCAUAGACAACUUGUUGACUAUGUUUAGUCAUGCGGCUUACUCGCUUAGUGCUAUUUUACCUACGCUUAGGAUGUUGAGUAGCGACAUACGCAC